GAGUUUGAUCGUGGCUCAGAGCGAACGCUGGCGGCAGGCCUAACACAUGCAAGUCGAACGAACUCUUCGGAGUUAGUGGCGGACGGGUGAGUAACACGUGGGAACGUGCCUUUUGGUUCGGAAUAACUCAGGGAAACUUGUGCUAAUACCGAAUGUGCCCUUCGGGGAAGGAUUAUCGCCAUUAGAGCGGCCCGCCGUCUGAUUAGCUAGUUGGUGAGGUAAAGGCUCACCAAGGCGGCGAUCAGUAGCUGGUCUGAGAGGAUGAUCAGCCACAUUGGGACUGAGACACGGCCCAAACUCCUACGGGAGGCAGCAGUGGGGAAUCUUGCGCAAUGGGCGAAAGCCUGACGCAGCCAUGCCGCGUGAAUGAUGAAGGUCUUAGGAUUGUAAAAUUCUUUCACCGGGGACGAUAAUGACGGUACCCGGAGAAGAAGCCCCGGCUAACUUCGUGCCAGCCGCCGCCGUAAG
Molecule: ribosomal RNA, 468 nt
Filed under: uncultured microorganism
Description: bacterial SSU rRNA
Rfam family: Bacterial small subunit ribosomal RNA
Source: RNAcentral